Molecule: long non-coding RNA, 3303 nt
Organism: Olea europaea var. sylvestris
Lineage: Eukaryota; Viridiplantae; Streptophyta; Magnoliopsida; Lamiales; Oleaceae
Exons: 3
Source: RefSeq, a predicted model, not a curated record
CUUUUUUAUUUGCUUUCCUAUUGUUGCUUUUCUCUUCUUAGACACGCAACCUUCUUCUUUGGUCUUUGUGCUCUCCAUUCUUCAAAUUUCCAUCUGACACACGCAACAUUUCUCUUCUUUCUUCGGCCUUUUCCAACUCUUUCUUUCUAGAACUUCUGUCUGUUGUUCAAAAUUCUUCAGAAGAACCCAAAAAAAUUGUGGAAUAUUGAGAUUGAUUCAUGCAGAAUUAGUAUCCUCAAACCUUCAUUUUCCUCUUUUUGUACAUGGGUUCCAUUCUAUUCUUAAGUUGGUGGAAUCGAAGCCAGUAGUGGUGCCACUCCAUCGAGUAAGAUUUUUGAAAUAAAUUCGGUUUCUUAGUUGAUUCUUGAUGGUUUUGGGUACAAAUCUUCCUUCUUCAUUUUCUAAUUGACUCUUCUUUUUGUUGUUAAGAUCUAUUUUGCCUGAAGUGUUUCCUUUUUUUGGGUUGAAGAUUUAUUUCUUUUGAAUUUUUAGGUUUUUUUUUAGUUGAUUGUUUAUAAUGAGUUGUUUGUAAAUUUGUAAUAGGUUGUUGGUUGUUGAUUUCUGUUUGUUUAGGGUAUCAACGCUUAAAACAUGUUUAUCAUGCAACAUAAUACAUGAAGGUGACUACCAAAUUGUUAUGGGCACACUUCUGGUAACGAAAAUGUGUAAAAAAUUUAAUGUACUAAAACCCAUAAAAAAGUAUGCACUGGAAAAGAACUUUUACCAAAGAAUUCCUAUCUUAAUAAAUCUAAUCAGCAUAACCAAUCAUGUCAAAUGCUUGCUGAAUAGCUAUAUGAGGAAGAUUUCUACUCAAUGGUAAUCUCCAAGUUAAUGAGGUAGGACCAGAUAAAGUCCAUGUAAAUCAAAGUGCCAAUGUUCAUUUUGUAACGAUCAACACUUCUUCUGCAUUUAUUUAUGGACAUUUUCAACAUCAUGGUAUUUCUACAUAACUCUUUGAUUAUCAAUUUGAAGUUCAAUUUUUUUAUUGAUUCAUUGUUUACUUUUGUAAUUCCUCUCUUCUAUUGCCUUUUAAUUUAAAUGCUUAUUCGUCUGCUUAUGUUUGCUGCGUGGAUGCUUAUUUCUAACUUUUUCCUUUAGUUGGGGAGUAUACAUUGUUAUAACUAUAUUCUUGAUUUUCUGUUCUAUAUCUUGUUUUGACUUCUGGUUCCUACAUUUAUUUUGCUUUGAAACAUUUCAAUAAAAGCGCUGCUACCCAUACAGGGGUCUAUUUUAUAGACCCUUGCUAGACCCUCACACUUGCGGGCCCCAAUGUAUUUUUUUUAAUAUGUGGGACCGACCCCUAUAAUGAGGAGUCAGUAAGACCCCUGUGAAGCUUAGCUCUGUACACAGAGCUUGAAUGUUUCAAGAAUUAUGAUAUUCGUGUAAAUUUUUUGACUUACCUUAGCAUAGUGUUCUAAAGUUACCAGCUAAAACCUUUGAUGGGAUUAAUCAGCCAAUAGAAGCUUGAAAAAUCUUGUAUCUAUAGUUAUUGGUUUUUAUUUUUGGACUUCAGCCAUUUCCAUUUUGUUCACAAGCUUGUAUUAUACUUAUGGACUCUACAAUUUUUUUACCUUGGGAUAUUGUCCUGGUUUUGGAAGGUAAUUACUUUUGCGUUUUUGGCAAGAACUCUCUCUUGACUUCUCAUUGUCUUCUGUGACUGCACAAGCCAGGAAAAAUUUUCCUACAUUUUAGUCUCAAUGCAGAAAAUGAAAUGUUGCACACACUUUCAUUUUUAGCAGGCAUUAUGAAGAUGGAAUUCUUUGUGGCUCACCCAAUUUCUACAAGUAGGUUGGCUCAUUCCAUAUUGUGCGUUCUUCCUUUGCUUAAUUUUCUAAUAUUUAAAUGUAUGAUUUUUCAUCUUUGGUACUUUAUUUUAUUCUUUUUUCAUGUCACUUAUGUUGGAGAAUUGGAUUUUAAUGAGAUCACUGUUUCUCUUUGAUUUCAAUGGUGUUCGGUAUUUACAAUAGAUUUAAUUGUUUGUUUUUUCAAUGGGUUCAUGUGUUGUUGAAGGAGAUAAGCACUAAAUUAUUUAAGAAAUUCUCGUCGUCUCGUAGGUAACUAUUGUUUUUCUUCACUAUUUUUGGGUAUAAUUACUUUAUUUCUUUGUGAUAUUACAAGAAAAAGUUGUGUAUGUUUAGUGGAGGUCCAAUUCAUUAAAUUUGUGAGAAGUUUUUGUAACUUUUUUUUAGUUAUGAUUUAUAUUAUUUGACAUGUAUCAUAAUACACUGAGCUUUAAUGAUGGUUUAGUUUAGUUUCGUUUCUUUAUAAUUUUUGUUAUUUCUUUAUUUAGGGUUUGAUCAUCAGAUAUUUAAGAGUUUCCUUUUUCUUUUCUUUUUUUGUAAUGGAUGGAGUUUGCAAUUGAUCAGUUGGUGUGAUUGUUUGGAUGUUUAUACUUCACUGGAUUUUGUAGUUCUUAUUUUUGUGAUUUGUGAUAAUUUUUGUUAGAAAGAUUUUUGAUGAUUUUUAAAAUCUUUGUUUGGCAUGAGUUCGUUUGGGCAACUUAACAUCUUUAUUUAAUAGUUGAUCAUAGUGAAAUUUGGAACAUGUGCCCUAUAAUGGGAAGGAUAAAGAACUGAUUUUAACAAUUUGAAUUACGAUUGGAUCUUUAUGGGCCUAACGAAAUUUUUUAAGUUCCAUACUAAAAUAUAUAUCUAUGUUUUUAAAUAGAACUAUUAUGAGACUUUAUUUCAGAGCUAGGAACUAGAUUGUUGUGUAGAAAGACGAAGAACGAAGAAGAUAUAUAAUUUAAAUAUGCCUAUUUGGUUGAAUGAGGUGAUUCAAGUCAAUUAGUGUAUAUAUUGUAUCUAGAUUGUAUGUAUUUCUGUUACAUAACUUUUUUUUUUUGUAACUUUCAGUUCACAUUCAAGUAGUUUUGUUCUUUUUAGAUGAACUUUUAGGUUUUGAGAAAGCCUGGAACGAAAAAGCUAGACAACAUCCUGACUGGAGUAAAGGAUUUAAUAUGCAAGGUAUUAUGGUGGUAUAGGCCAAAACAUAGAAGCAUUCGACGAUGUUUUAUGUGGGUAAGGAAUAGAUGGUGGUGGUCUAUAGUUUGAAGAGCCUCUUGGGUUAUUUGGACGCUAAAGUCGGAGUAUCUUCUAUCUAUUUUCCAAACAUAAUCUUCAAGUUGAACUCAAUCAUAUGGACGUGUCAACUAUACUAGGAAAAUAGUUAAUGUAACCCCAUUCAUUUCUUAUUCACAUAUAUUUUUUUAUCAAUCUAGGUGUGAUAGAAUGCUGUUGUGAGAUUGUAAAAGCCGUUAACAUGUUGCCAAAUUUUUCUUGCAUCGUGGGGAAAUUGAUAUAA